CGGCGAUACCCGAAUGGGGAAACCCAGUGUGACUCGUCACACUAUCAUUAACUGAAUCCAUAGGUUAAUGAGGCGAACCGGGGGAACUGAAACAUCUAAGUACCCCGAGGAAAAGAAAUCAACCGAGAUUCCCCCAGUAGCGGCGAGCGAACGGGGAGGAGCCCAGAGCCUGAAUCAGCAUGUGUGUUAGUGGAAGCGUCUGGAAAGGCGCGCGAUACAGGGUGACAGCCCCGUACACAAAAGCGCAUGUGCUGUGAGCUCGAUGAGUAGGGCGGGACACGUGGUAUCCUGUCUGAAUAUGGGGGGACCAUCCUCCAAGGCUAAAUACUCCUGACUGACCGAUAGUGAACCAGUACCGUGAGGGAAAGGCGAAAAGAACCCCGGCGAGGGGAGUGAAAAAGAACCUGAAACCGUGUACGUACAAGCAGUGGGAGCA
RNAcentral lists this ribosomal RNA (436 nucleotides) under Salmonella enterica subsp. enterica serovar Agona. RNAcentral describes it as "partial 23S ribosomal RNA". It matches the Rfam family "Bacterial large subunit ribosomal RNA", at positions 105 to 581 of the family's 2925-position model. Lineage: Bacteria; Pseudomonadati; Pseudomonadota; Gammaproteobacteria; Enterobacterales; Enterobacteriaceae. The record is from RNAcentral.